UUUGCAUUGUACUUACUGGAAGACACUGUGUCAAUCUUUAUAACUGUUCACUACACAAACAGCCUUGGAAAGAUAGUUUGGAGCAAAGAUUGGCAGUGCCCUUACUCACAAGAAGUGUAUAAACAUGGAAAACCCAUGGAGAAUUGACUUCAAAUAGCUAUAUCAUCUGUAAAGCAUAAUAUUUUUACUUGGUCUAUAUUUAGUUUAAGAUGCUUUUGAAGGGUAAUGGAGGUUAUGGAUGGGAGAUUCGAGUGGCCCACCCGCAAGGAACUGCUUGAUACUGUGCUAUAAUUUGGUAUUGUC
Molecule: long non-coding RNA, 303 nt
Filed under: Homo sapiens (human)
Lineage: Eukaryota; Metazoa; Chordata; Mammalia; Primates; Hominidae
Description: HSALNT0180115
Source: RNAcentral